RNAcentral lists this ribosomal RNA (255 nucleotides) under uncultured bacterium. RNAcentral's name for it is "partial 16S ribosomal RNA". It matches the Rfam family "Bacterial small subunit ribosomal RNA", at positions 524 to 776 of the family's 1533-position model. The record is from RNAcentral.
UACAGAGGGGGCAAGCGUUGUUCGGAAGUUACUGGGCGUAAAGGGCGCGUAGGCGGCCUUCUAAGUCGAACGUGAAAUCCCCGGGCUCAACCCGGGAACUGCGUCCGAUACUGGAAGGCUUGAAUCCGGGGAGAGGGAUGCGGAAUUCCAGGUGUAGCGGUGAAAUGCGUAGAUAUCUGGAGGAACACCGGUGGCGAAGGCGGCAUCCUGGACCGGUAUUGACGCUGAGGCGCGAAAGCCAGGGGAGCAAACGGG